AGUAUCCUGAAGGAACGUUGAAGACGACGACGUUGAUAGGCCGGGUGUGUAAGCGCAGCGAUGCGUUGAGCUAACCGGUACUAAUGAACCGUGAGGCUUAACCUUACAACGCCGAAG
RNAcentral lists this ribosomal RNA (117 nucleotides) under Salmonella enterica. RNAcentral describes it as "partial 23S ribosomal RNA". The stretch from base 1 to 105 matches the Rfam family "Bacterial large subunit ribosomal RNA", at positions 2821 to 2925 of the family's 2925-position model. Lineage: Bacteria; Pseudomonadati; Pseudomonadota; Gammaproteobacteria; Enterobacterales; Enterobacteriaceae. The record is from RNAcentral.